CCUACGGGUGGCAGCAGUGAGGAAUAUUGGUCAAUGGACGAGAGUCUGAACCAGCCAAGUAGCGUGAAGGAUGACUGCCCUCUGGGUUGUAAACUUCUUUUAUAUGGGAAUAAAACGUUCCACGUGUGGGAUUUUGUAUGUACCAUAUGAAUAAGGAUCGGCUAACUCCGUGCCAGCAGCCGCGGUAAUACGGAGGAUUCGAGCGUUGUCCGGAUUUAUUGGGUUUAAAGGGAGCGUAGGUGGAUUGUUAAGUCAGUUGUGAAAGUUUGCGGCUCAACCGUAAAAUUGCAGUUGAAACUGGCAGUCUUGAGUACAGUAGAGGUGGGCGGAAUUCGUGGUGUAGCGGUGAAAUGCUUAGAUAUCACGAAGAACUCCGAUUGCGAAGGCAGUUCACUGGACUGCAACUGACGCUGAGGCUCGAAAGUGUGGGUAUCAAACAGGAUUAGAUACCCGGGUAGUC
This 460-nucleotide ribosomal RNA is filed under the name uncultured bacterium. RNAcentral's name for it is "partial 16S ribosomal RNA". It matches the Rfam family "Bacterial small subunit ribosomal RNA", at positions 338 to 795 of the family's 1533-position model. The record is from RNAcentral.